Molecule: non-coding RNA, 27 nt
Submitted as: unclassified sequences
Source: Rfam
CUAUGACUUUUGUCAUGGCGAAGGGAG